UUUAUUCACCAGGAGGGAGUCCUGCUGAGAGAAGAGACAGGCCUUCAGCAUCACGCACUCCAUAUUGUACGUCGCUCGCCACGAAACUGAGAUCCACACGUUCAUAAACGUGCCUGCGAGUAGAGCGUUCCACUACAGAGCCUCAGGUCUCUCAGGAAUCUGUCAGUGAGCAGAGAGAUGGGGACUCUGACAUGGAGGUCUGGGCCUCUGGCUCCAGUUUCCAAGCAUUCACCCUGGCUGGGCUGUCAGGCUACAGACACUGCACAGCCCUGAUAUUACAGCAGACCAUGAUGCCUCUGUAGGACCUGAAGGAAUCUGAGUGAUACUUUCUGAGGCCAGACCUGGAACCAACAGUCAAGUUAACCACGACGAAAACCGAGUCUGAGAAGAUGAACUGAAAUGGCCACUGUGCACGAUGAAAACUGUCAGCCAAGGAAGGAGGGUCCCUCAUUUGUGGUUUCACAUGUCAACCACACAGCCAUCAUUAAAGGUUCAAAACAUUAAAUUAACUGAAAUUAUCAACAGAAGACAAUUUGCAUUUUAUGUUAAAGAUGUAUAUUGUGUUGCAGAGAUAUCUACUGAGGUUAGUUUCUGUGUGUCCUGUCUUGUAAUACCUGGGGACACAUGCCAUUGAGUUAACCUCUAUAUUUUAUUAUGGAAAUUUCACAUCCAUAAAUGUAAAUUUCAAGAUUCA
This is a long non-coding RNA of Larimichthys crocea (large yellow croaker), 694 nucleotides long. RefSeq lists it as uncharacterized. NCBI's taxonomy places the organism in Eukaryota, Metazoa, Chordata, Actinopteri, Sciaenidae. The record is from RefSeq and is a predicted model, not a curated record. The transcript has 4 exons.